RNAcentral lists this long non-coding RNA (5178 nucleotides) under Citrus x clementina. RNAcentral describes it as "Citrus clementina (C. clementina) long non-coding RNA (CCLE_LNC003945)". The record is from RNAcentral. Lineage: Eukaryota; Viridiplantae; Streptophyta; Magnoliopsida; Sapindales; Rutaceae.
AAUAUAUAUUAUAUAGAGCCUUUAAUAUCAUUGGAAAACACCUUUACACCCAAAUCAUAAUUAUAAACAGAAGUACGUAACAAUAGCAAAAUUAAUUAAACCAGUGAACUUCAGCUUCAAUAUUAAUUAAUGGGGAAGAAUAUAAAUUCCACCUAUAACAAAAUGUUAUCAAAAGAAGGCUUACAAUUCGUUUGAAUAGGUCCAUACAUUUGGGCUCAAAAUGGGCCUGGAACAAAAUGUGCUGGAGUUGUUAGCCCAAUUUCAAAUGUCUUUAUACUUGUUUUAAUUAAUAAUUAUAAUUUAACAAUUGUUUGAUUUGUUAUAAAAAAAAAUUGUUUGAUUUCCUUCACAAAGGAAAAGAAGGAUUAAAAAAAGAAAAAGGUAAAAUAAAAUAUUUGUUUCAUCCUAAAUUUGAAAUAAAUAUACAUUUUCUCUAUAAGGUUCUAGCGAAAUGAAGUUUGCAGAUGAUGUAUGAUAAUUAAUGGGAUUCGUGGAAUAUUAAUGAAAGAAUGCAAUUGCAAGCCCACAAAAUAAAAACCAAUAAACUUUAUGAAUAAUGCUGGACAUCCUAACAUUUAAGUUUUAAUUUGAAUCUAACUUGAUGUGUCAUUCAUUCAUUGAAUGGUAGUUAAAUAAUUAUAUAAGUUAUGAAAUUCUUUAUCAAAUAAAUGAGAGACACAUAGUAUUAAGACUAAAGUUAAAACUCAAAUAUCUAUUAAGAUCCCUAAUAUUAUUUUAACUUUAUUAAGACUUAUUAUUUAACUUACAGCAGCCUCAGGAUUGCUCUACAAAUAUAUGGACAUGGUAGUUGGAAAAAAAAAAAAAAAAGGGUCUCAAGUGUCAACCAGCACAAGCUGAAGCUGCCGACAUAAAUAUCAGUUGGCGGUAGUCACAUUAUUGCCGGUUGCCUCACGAUUCAAUUCGACUGCCGCUAUCAACGCAAACUCACCUCGGCCUGCUUUUCUCUAUACGACUGCUGUGUUGACAAGAAAAAUAUAUAUCCCCUGCCAGUCUGCCACACCUCUCUAGAAUCCUUUACACAUGAAAUUUCAUGCAGUUUCUGCGUCUACAUUACGGUAACAGUCUGAUUUGAAACUACGUAAUGCUACCCAGCUUUUAUCAAACGUAACCGACGAUGCCGACAUAAGCAAAUGUAUACUUUUUCUAGGGAAAUUAGUGCAAGAUUUUCUUAAUUUUGUUCUGAACCUUCGUAGAAUUUUCUUCACUCGUUUACAUGACAUGACUGGUACUGUUGUGUCCACUUGUAGGUUCUAAUUUGUCCAAGCUAGGCUACGCUUUCAGUGCUGUGCGAUAUACAAAGAGUCACAAGAUCGGGACUAGGGAAUGUAUUGCUCUUGGUUUCAAUCUAGGUAGCCUAGCUUCUCAACGUGAUUAAUUAUAUAAUUACCCUUGUGUCCUCCACUCACCAGAGCUUGUUGCACGUUCUGUUUUUUGUUUUUUGUUUUUUGUUUUUUUCCUGGACAAGUAGCAUAAUAAAAGGUGGAAUGGAAAUACUGGAUUUCGAUGGAAAGAGUCACUACCCGAGUAUAGUCCAAGUCAAUACAUUCAUUCAUUAAUCUUUGAUCAGACUUUGUUUCAUCAGUUUCAUCUUAUAUAGGGUGAGUUUGAUAUUGAGGUUGGGCAAUUAUAGCUUAAAAGUUAUAGUAUUAAAGUGUUUGAUAAAAAUUAGCCGUUGUACUUUAGAAGCUGUGUUGAUAUGAUUUUUUAAUUAUAUGAUAGAAGAUCUAUUAUAUCUUUAAUAAUUUUGUCAAAAUUAUUAUUUAAAAUUUAUAUUUACUAUAUACUAUUAACUUUUAAUUCAUAGUCACAACUUUUUUUCUACAGCAGCUGUAACUUAAAAACUACAGUACCUCAAUUCCAAUGAGGACUGUAGUCUUAUACUUUUGUUUCCUGAUUUGGAAGAACAUAAUUAGUUGGGUCCUCUCGAAACAUCGUGCAAAAAAAGUUAGAUCAUGUUAAUCAUGAAAAUUUAUCGUUUUCCUUUUAAAGGUAAGAGGGGUCGAUGGAUAAAUUCAAUUUAAUUUCUCAGUCCCCUGCCUAUAACCCAUAGGUUGUGUUUGGGAGUAGAACAAAAUGUGGGAUUAGACUAAUUGUUUGGAUAAUAUAUCUAAUCCCAUAUUUAGUAAACACACUAAGAUUAGAUUAAGUGGAUUAAAUUCAAAUUUAAUCCUACAAUUAUAGGAUUAGUUAUCCUCAUUUUCACAUGGGUUUAAGGAGGAUUAGACUAAGCAAUGUUUGUCCUUUUUAUUGAUUUUUAUUCGCGGUUCCAUAAAAAUUAAGUAAUUUAUUUUUUAUUUUACUUGUAACAUCUUCUUUCAGUUAUUUAUUUAUUUGUAUUAAUAUUUAAUUUUAAAUAAUUAAUUAAUAGUAUAUUAUAUGUAUUAACAAAAUUAUUAUUAAGAAACAUCCCAUUUAUCAUUUGAAUAUUAUGUAAAACAUUAACAUUUGAUAAAUAAAUAAUUUUAUAUUUAAUUGUUUAAUAAUAUUUUAUUUAAUAGGCAAAGUAUAUCAUAUAUAAAAAUAUAUAACUUAAAUAAAUUUAAUUAUUCUAAUUAAAUACUAUUUAACUUCACUUGUAUUUAAUUUGACGUAGUAUAAUCCGAUAUUAAUCUUAUAUCGUACCAAAUGUAGGACAACAUUAUAUAUAAUCCAGGUUAAUACAAUCCAACCUAAUCCAAUAUAGUUCUUAUAGUCAAUCUAAUUUAAUCUUGCAUGCCAAACGUAGCGAUAAGGUUAAAUCUUCGGGGGGCUAAUUUGGCCAUUCACAUCCAGUUUCGUUGGCCUAUAUUGUGCGGUUUCAGGUAGGGAUGGCAAAUUUUUCCGGAUCCGGCCCGGACCCGGACAAACCCGGAUCAUCCGGUACGGGUUCAACCCGCACCGAAUGCAUUAAUAAUGCGGAUUCGGGUUGUAAUUUUUCAAACCCGGAUAUAUUCCGGGUCGGGUCCGGGUUUAGGUGAACCCGGAUCUCCGGAACCCGGACCCGGACUACUAUUUAUUUAUUUAUUAAUUUUUAUUACAAACGAAAAAUAUAUAAGCAUUAAACAAUAAGUUGGGCAGGAAAAAAAAAUUAAAAGCAAACAAGACAAACCCGCAAAACCCUAAAACAAAACAAAACAAUUGCACCAGCCGCCACCUAGUUGAGGGGAGGGGGGAACAUAAGCAAAACAAAACAAUCCCUCAAUCUUCAUCAAUUCAUCUCUCAAUCUUCAUCUCCAUCUUCAUCUUAAUCUUCAUCUCACUCAUCCCCAGCGGCCACCUUAAUCCUCAUCUCCCUCAUCCCUAGCGACUGCCACCUCAAUCUUUGUCUUCUUCAUCCCCAACGGCCAAGUUCAUCAAUACAUCAUCAAUUAAACCAUCUCAAUUCAUCAUCCAUUAUUAUCAAGAACAACGAACAAAUACCCAGCUCCACCAUCGUCAAAUUCGGUCUCAUCUCUCUCCAAAGAGCAAGCUUUGCUGCUAGUUUCUAACUCCUUCUCGCCCGCAAUCAUAUUUUUCGCUGGCCCAUCACCGCCUUAGCUGCGACCUGAAAUUUUCUUUUGUUUCUCUGUAUUUCUCUUUUAAUUUUUUGCUUUUGCUUAAUUUCGGUAAUUAUUAAUUUUUUUCUUGUUGUUAAUAGCCAAACGCAGCAUCUUAGCACAUAAUAUCCAUAUAAUUGUAAAUUUUAUUAUUGAAGUAAGCAAAUUUGGUUGUGAUCCCAUGAAUUCGUCCUAUUGUUUUUUGCUUCUGUAAUUCCAAAGAACCAAAAAGUGACAAGUAUUAAAUCUAUCUUCAUCCAAUACCGGGUUUGAAACCCGCAAUCCGGAAAUCCGGAUUUUUCCGGGUUGAACCCGGGGCGGACCCAGAGUGAAAUAAUCCGGGUUUAUAUCCAGGUCUGGAAACGUAAAUUAUCAUCCGGGUCCGGAACCAGAAACGUUAAACCCGGACCCGGACCCGGAUUUUGCCAUCCCUAGUUUCGGGGGUUCCUAUGGGCAGAGCAAAAACAUUUCAAAUAUUAAAAAUAUUUGUUGAAUACUUGUAAAAGUUUUGAAUAUUCGAGUUUAUCUUUUGAGGGAAAUCGUUUAUUCUUGAAGUUGAAAGAAUCUGAGCAAAAGUUGACUAGAACAAGAAAAAAAAAAUUGGAAUUGAAGGAAUAUCCAACUAGCAUUUGAACUACUACUUGCAGGCACAAUGAAUGAGAGGGCACGUUUUAAAGAUGUCCGUUGUAUGGGUAAGAACGUAUCUAGCCAAUACAAAAUGCUAAGAACAAAACAAACAGGAACCAUAAAAUACAAUUAAUUGACUCGAUUAGCUCGUUGUGAGCCUUGAGCAUGCCUGAUCCACUUUUCAUUGCAUACGGAAGAUGAGGGUCAUAUAAGAAUCUCAGUAUGGGUAUCAAAACGACUAGUUUAUAUAUUGAUGAAGCAGAAAACAACAGAAAGAACAAAGUUCUGAAUAAUAUGCUAUUGGUAAAAGCUGUGCAACCCUUAGGUUAUGCAACCAUUUAUAGUAGCAAUAGAAAUUAUUCUUAAGUAGUCCUGAUGGAGACAUUAGUUUAUUUGAUCACAUUUGAAUUUUCUAAUAGGCGAACAAACCGCCAAUGACGGAUGAUCAGGUGGCAGUUAGUUUCAGUUUCUCGUAGUGGGUGCAUGUCCCCAAUUGAUUUAAUUUGUGCCACCAUUAUUGAAUUUUAGCCCUGAAUAGAAAAGAGUUGAUGUCGAAGACGACGGUACGGACAAAGAAGAGUCGUGCACGAAGGCUGCCCCCUCGGCCACCGCCAAAAGGAAAGGGCUAAAUAAAAUGGGACCGUAUUGCUAUUUUCUUUUUUCUUUUUUCUUUAACGUCUAUUAAAAGUCUCAUGGUUCACCGUCACCGAGCCGACCCUGCUUCAGGACAAAAUUUUUACCUUAUAAACCCUAGCCCCAUGUUGAUAACAUUUUAAAUUGAAUUCGUUAUUUUUCUAUGUUGCAUUAUUAAAAAAAAAAAGGGCAGCAUGCUUUGGGCUACAAGGACAGUGCUUAAGGUUUGUUAAUGUGGUGUAGCAAAAUAAUUAUAAUAAUAAUAAGGUGGUUUGAUAGUUAGGAAUCUAUUGAGAUUAGAACUAUUUAAUAGUUGAAAAUACAUACACUAAUUAUUUUUUCCCUACUUAUUUUCAAAAAUCUUAUAAUACGUAUGUAUAUU